CCCCUGGUGGCUCAGAAGGUAAAGAGUCUGCCUGCAAUGCAGGAGACCUGGGUUCGAUCCCUGGGUCGGGGAA
Non-coding RNA from Bos taurus (domestic cattle), 73 nucleotides. The record is from Rfam. Lineage: Eukaryota; Metazoa; Chordata; Mammalia; Artiodactyla; Bovidae.